AGUAGGGAAUCUUCGGCAAUGGACGAAAGUCUGACCGAGCAACGCCGCGUGAAUGAAGAAGGCCUUCGGGUUGUAAAAUUCUGUUAUAAGGGAAGAAAGACGAGAGUAGGAAAUGGCUCUUGAGUGACGGUACCUUAUGAGAAAGCCACGGCUAACUACGUGCCAGCAGCCGCGGUAAUACGUAGGUGGCAAGCGUUAUCCGGAAUUAUUGGGCGUAAAGAGCGCGCAGGUGGUUGAUUAAGUCUGAUGUGAAAGCCCACGGCUUAACCGUGGAGGGUCAUUGGAAACUGGUCAACUUGAGUGCAGAAGAGGGAAGUGGAAUUCCAUGUGUAGCGGUGAAAUGCGUAGAGAUAUGGAGGAACACCAGUGGCGAAGGCGGCUUCCUGGUCUGUAACUGACACUGAGGCGCGAAAGCGUGGGGAGCAAA
RNAcentral lists this ribosomal RNA (427 nucleotides) under Turicibacter sanguinis. Its description in RNAcentral is "bacterial SSU rRNA". It matches the Rfam family "Bacterial small subunit ribosomal RNA", at positions 353 to 772 of the family's 1533-position model. The record is from RNAcentral. Lineage: Bacteria; Bacillati; Bacillota; Erysipelotrichia; Erysipelotrichales; Turicibacteraceae.